This is a long non-coding RNA of Cannabis sativa, 1217 nucleotides long. RefSeq lists it as uncharacterized. The transcript has 3 exons. The record is from RefSeq and is a predicted model, not a curated record. Lineage: Eukaryota; Viridiplantae; Streptophyta; Magnoliopsida; Rosales; Cannabaceae.
AUUGCCCUAAUCUAACCAGAAUCUCAUUCUCAUCACAAUCCCACAAAAGAUUUUUUUUUUCUAUAUCUGAACCCAAUCCCAAUCGAUUAAUAUACCUUUUCAUCACCUCUAGCAACGAAAUUCUAAUUGGAUAAAUUCAAAAGUGUUAAAUUCUAAUCGGAGAAAUUCAAAGUAAUCAAAUUCCAAUCGUAAAUUGAGUUAAAUUCCAAUCGGAGAAAUUCAAAGGAUUCAAAUUCCAAUCGAAGGCCAGAGUUUUACAAUAAGUUCGCAUUUUAAUUCUUCUUCUUUCGCUCCUCCCCUUCAGAGAUCCCACGCUCAUCUUUGAGAAAGAAUUCUGAACUACGAAUUCAGAGUUAUUGCAAAAUCAUUCAAGCCCUUCCCUACCGUGCGUCCUCAUUCAAGAAGAACAAAAUUAUUGCGAUCCACAUUCAAUUGGCUGUGAGAAACGAUGAAGAGUUGAGGAAGCUUUUGAGAGUGAUGACAAUUACGAACGGAGGUGUUUAAUUUUCUGGUUAUUUGAUUUCAUCGAAUACAAUUUGAACUCUAACAUUGUGUAAGAACAAAUUUUGACCAGAACUAGGUAUGCUAUAGUGUUUUAAUCACUUUUAUUUUGCUAUAAAGGAAAGACUAUGCUCAACAACAAUCUAUUAGCAAUUCAUAUAUAUUGUGCAGCCGGAAAAGAGAAUAGUUUCAAUAACUACUAUUAUUGCUAUUGUUGGGGCAAUUGGUGUAUGAUUAGUAGUAGCCGCCAUAACAGGAACAGGUUACUGGAAUUAUGACCAAUUUGUUUGUAUCAAACAAAGGUUGUCUUAUUGGAGUUUAUUGCAGAAAUCUGAGAAGGGUCUGCAGCCAAAAGGUUUGAGAUUGCUACCAAGGUUGUGUAAGGAGGCACAACUCUGAAAGUAAUGAAAGCUUAACAUGUUCUGUUUAGACCAUUGCAGAAGUAGCCAAGAGGAGAGGUUGAGUUAUCCUUUUUGCCACAUUCAGUUGUGUCUUCUCUCACAUAUGGUUGUUGAGCAAAAAUUGAAGAGAAGCUACAACUAAUGAUGAUGAUGAUGAUGAUGAUGAUGAAGAAGAAAAUGGGCUUUGGAGAACUCAUUUUGUCUUGGAAAAUCUAAAUAGUUAUUGUUCUAAAUAUGUAUAUAUAUAUUAUUAACAAAGUCAACAAAGAAAGUGAAACUACUUGUGUGAAUGUGAUAAAGGAAGCACUUUUAACA